ACUCCGUACGGGAGGCAGCAGGUAGGGAAUCUUCCACAAUGGGCGCAAGCCUGAUGGAGCAACACCGCGUGAGUGAAGAAGGGUUUCGGCUCGUAAAGCUCUGUUGUUAAAGAAGAACACGUAUGAGAGUAACUGUUCAUACGUUGACGGUAUUUAACCAGAAAGUCACGGCUAACUACGUGCCAGCAGCCGCGGUAAUACGUAGGUGGCAAGCGUUAUCCGGAUUUAUUGGGCGUAAAGAGAGUGCAGGCGGUUUUCUAAGUCUGAUGUGAAAGCCUUCGGCUUAACCGGAGAAGUGCAUCGGAAACUGGAUAACUUGAGUGCAGAAGAGGGUAGUGGAACUCCAUGUGUAGCGGUGGAA
Molecule: ribosomal RNA, 361 nt
Filed under: uncultured bacterium
Lineage: Bacteria
Description: bacterial SSU rRNA
Rfam family: Bacterial small subunit ribosomal RNA
Source: RNAcentral